Temnothorax curvispinosus is the source of this 1425-nucleotide long non-coding RNA. RefSeq lists it as uncharacterized. Lineage: Eukaryota; Metazoa; Arthropoda; Insecta; Hymenoptera; Formicidae. The record is from RefSeq and is a predicted model, not a curated record. The transcript is spliced from 3 exons.
UAAAAGGGGUAGCGCCACCGGAGGGUUACUGAACCGCUCUUGUCGGUCACGCAAUACAUCAUUUCUUUCCGAGGGUGCUCUCGACAAUGCCGAAGCAUUCUGGGCCCUCGCAAUGUUCAUCUAGCAUCCAUUACAAGAAAAUAGGGAAGUCUGGAUCCUCUGGAUCCAGGUUGAACAUUCCUAUUGGAGAUACCAAUGCAGUUGGCAGUUAUUUUCAAUCGUGUGCUCGUUCUACAUAUGUACGUGCAAAAUUGGCACGUGAACAAUCGUCCCAGUCGUUUAAAGAUACGUCCAGCGAUGCGUUCAUCGUUGUAACAUUAAUCUUCUUGAUAAUUUCAGAUGUCAAUAUAACAAUACAUAAGGGUGUCUAAUAAUUAUUACGAUAGCUUUUUAAUAACAAUGCGCCAUGAACAGUGGAUGCUACCAAAGAUAAAUUAUUAUAUGUUAAAUGAAACAGAUUACAUAGGUAUAGGACUCUCUUUCAUUAAUUGGUCAUCCACCUCUACAACCAACCAGACUCGGUAAACUUCACACGUUGUUUCCGUGCCUGGGCAGCCGAGCCGAAGGCGGAAAAUUAUUUUUAGACCGAACGGCUGUCGUUACCUAAGCUUUUUACAUCAUCGGGCCUCCGUCUGGGCAAAAGCGCGGAUUCACGAGCGACGCGUGUAUGCCGCUUAAUUGGAUGAGAGACCCGCGAUUAGAGAGAGGAUAAAUGUCAAACGGUGCGUGCACCCAUGACCACCGGGUCUCAAAGGAUUAAUUAUGGGCGACGGGGACGGCGGAAAAUCGCGGUUGUGUGUCUGCCGUCUGCAAAAAUCACAACAACGCUGCCUCCACCGUUGUCGUCGUCAUCGUAAUCGGCAUGCACGAGCGGACCGAGAACAAGUAUAUCGGGACGUGCAGAAAGGGGGAGAAUGAGGGCUCCUGAAUCACCAGUGAUUUGCCCGAUAAAUACGAUCGGCGUGGGCGUAGCAUCGAGUGAAGACACGUAGGGAGGAAGCCGUAGUCAAGCUUGGGGGUCCGCUCGUCACCCGAGACGAAAGCCGGGACAUGAAAGGUAGGUGUACGGCCGACGUUAGACGUGGAUGUGAAGGUAAAGAGAGAGAGAGAGAGGAUUCUCUAAACACUAUAUCGAUUUCGGCGGCGAUGCGGUUACGCGUCGUCCGUGGCUAAACAUGAAUGGCGGGUGCGCGUUUGUGCUAUUCGUUCGUGUGAAACCGGACCUCCAUGGUGUUGAGCACUGUCGUAUGUCCGACAGUCCAAAACUGAUACCAGCACGUGUCCAAACAGCAACCUUUCAUGUUGCCUGCCUACGUCGAUAAUCAAAUUGGAACAUUAGAAAGUGGAGAUAUUUUUAAAACUGAAUAUUCCCGUCACUAAACUGGACAAAACGCCGCACAGGACUGCAAGAGAGUCAUAGAGAAU